This 3974-nucleotide small RNA is filed under the name Pongo abelii (Sumatran orangutan). RNAcentral's name for it is "retained intron". Lineage: Eukaryota; Metazoa; Chordata; Mammalia; Primates; Hominidae. The record is from RNAcentral.
GCACUCGUUGCAGGCGACGAUGCAGAGGGCUGUAAGUGUGGUGGCCCAUCUGGGCUCUCGCCUGCAGGCAUUCUCCCCGGCCUUGUGUCGUCCAUUUAGUUGCGCACAGGAGGUGCUCCGCCGGACACCGCUGUAUGACUUCCACCUGGCCCACGGCGGGAAAAUGGUGGCGUUUGCGGGUUGGAGUCUGCCAGUGCAGUACCGGGACAGUCACACUGACUCGCACCUGCACACACGCCAGCACUGCUCGCUCUUUGACGUGUCUCAUAUGCUGCAGACCAAGAUACUUGGUAGUGACCGGGUGAAGCUGAUGGAGAGUCUAGUGGUUGGAGACAUUGCAGAGCUAAGACCAAACCAGGUGGGCCCUUUUAUUUCUGCUCUAUGAGUUUUCUUAGUCAUGAGCCAGCAAAUGGGCUGAGUCCCUACCUCAAGCUUAGGGGCACAGAGAUGAGUCAAACACAGCUUCUCAGGGCUUGCAGUCUUGGACAGAAUCCCUGAGUCAUUUCCAGAGACACAGACAUUUGUAGGGAGGGGAAUAUCCCAGCCUUACUACAUCAGGCUAGGAGGCCAGAAACCAAGGUUAAUAUGCUGCUCUCUGGCCAUCCCUUCUGCUUAACCCCUCUCUAUUCAACAUGUAGUCCCUGGCCAGGCGACGUGACUCAAACACCUGUAAUCCCGGCACUUGGGGAGGCCAAGGCGGGUGGAUCACCUGAGGUCAGGAGUUCGAGACCAGCCUGGCCAACGUGGCAAAACCUCGUUUCUACUAAAAAUACAAAAAUUAGCCGGGCGUGGUGGCGCACGCUUGUAGUCCCAGCUACUUGGGAGGCUGAGGUUGCAGCAAGCUGAGGUUGCACCACUGCGCUCUGGCCUGGGCAACAGAGCGAGACUCAGUUUAAAAAGAAAAAUAACAACAACAAAGUGUGGUCUCUAAACCAGCAUCUUUGGAGCUUGUUAGGAAUAUACUCUCAGGCGCUGCUCCAGACCUGCUGAAUCAGAACCUUCAUUUUAACAAAAUCCCCAGGUGAUUCAUGUGACCCCCUCAACCUCAGGCUUUUUGUCCAUCCAGUGGGGAGGCUAAGGAAGUUUUUUGGGGGCAUUGCUGUGGAGUACUUAGGAGAGCCUGGGAUCAUCAAGAUGACCUUUGAAGCUUUUGUCCUGUGGGUUGGCACAUGGGCUGAGUCGUCCCAGGUUUGGGUAGGUGAAGCAGCAGGUCCUAGGUGUCAUAGAUUAAGCAUCAGAUGGGACUCUCAGUACAGAGUGGGGAGGGGUGCAGAGGUCUCACCAGAUCAGGGAAGCACCCCAAGGUAGGGAGAGGAUGAAAACUUACUUGGUGCAUGAGGAUCAAAGACCUUGGACUUGGGCCCAGACUUGUACCUUGUACACCCUGAGUCCUUCACAUUAGGGUUCAUAACCUUUUGGCAGCUAAGUGGGUCCAGGGUUAUGUCUGGCUCACCCUUGGCCUUGCCCUCCUGGACCUGGAAGCCAAAACGCUCCACUUUGGUCCUAGGGGACACUGUCGCUGUUUACCAACGAGGCUGGAGGCAUCUUAGAUGACUUGAUUGUAACCAGUACUUCUGAGGGCCACCUGUAUGUGGUGUCCAACGCUGGCUGCUGGGAGAAAGAUUUGGCCCUCAUGCAGGUAUACCCCCUCUGUGUUCUAGGCACCUUGUCUUCCUUGUUCAUAGAGCAGCAUCCUUGUUAUCCAAGACAGGGUUGGCACAGACAAAGGACCUGGAAAAUGGCUCUUUCAGUGAAUGAACAGCUAUGAGACUCAAGAGCAGGCCCUCUCUGGAGCAUGCCAGGGUUUGGUGGUGGGGGAUUACCAGGCAUGGGGAGGGGGUCUUGGCCCCUCUGGUGUGAGGUGGCAGACCUGGGCUUGGGUCAUCUCUAUCACUUAGUAGCUAUGUGACCUUGUAAGAUGGGAACCAGCCUACUACCUUUUUUUCCUCCCUCCUCCUCCUCCUCUCCACUGUCUUACUACUGUCCAGCUCUGCAGCGUCCAGCCCAUGGUAGCUGCUCAGUAAGUGGCCCCAGAUGCUCUUGUGUUUCUGUCUUUUAGGACAAGGUCAGGGAGCUUCAGAACCAGGGCAGAGAUGUGGGCCUGGAGGUGUUGGAUAAUGCCCUGCUAGCUCUGCAAGGUGAGAGGGCUGGGCUGGGGUUGGAGCCAACCUUUGCCUUCCUGGCUUUAUUGACUGCUUAGCACAGAGGCCAUACCAAGAAGAAGGUGUGGAAGGUGUGAUAUUUGUGUGCCAUAAUUUUAAGUUUGGUAUCUUGCCCUCCUCCUACCUACCACAAGGCUCCAUGGGCUAGAGACAAGGGCAUCUUCUCCCACUUGCAGAGUAAGACGUGCUCAGGGCUUGUUCUAGUCCCUGAAUAAGGCUUUAGUCCAGGUUUGAGGGAUGCUGGGACCUGGAUACUUGGUCACUGGCUCCCUGGGCCCAGGCCCCACUGCAGCCCAGGUACUACAGGCCGGCGUGGCAGAUGACCUGAGGAAACUGCCCUUCAUGACCAGUGCUGUGAUGGAGGUGUUUGGCGUGUCUGGCUGCCGUGUGACCCGCUGUGGCUACACAGGAGAGGAUGGUGUGGAGGUGUGUCAAGAAGUGGUGUAGGGGGCAGUACAGGGCACAAGAUGCAUGUGAGGGGUUGGGGGUAUGUGGUACAGGGAGCUUCCCAUCUGCCCUCUGGUGUUUCAUACAGAUCUCGGUGCCGGUAGCGGGGGCAGUUCACCUGGCAACAGCUCUUCUGAAAAACCCAGAGGUGAAGCUGGCAGGGCUGGCAGCCAGGGACAGCCUGCGCCUGGAGGCAGGCCUCUGCCUGUACGGGAAUGACAUUGAUGAACACACUACACCUGUGGAGGGCAGCCUCAGUUGGACACUGGGGAAGCGCCGCCGAGCUGCUAUGGACUUCCCUGGAGCCAAAGUCAUUGUUCCCCAGCUGAAGGGCAAGGUGCAGCGGAGGCGUGUGGGGUUGAUGUGUGAGGGGGCCCCCAUGCGGGCACACAGUCCCAUCCUGAACAUGGAGGGUACCAAGAUUGGUACUGUGACUAGUGGCUGCCCCUCGCCCUCUCUGAAGAAGAAUGUGGCGAUGGGUUAUGUGCCCUGCGAGUACAGUCGUCCAGGGACAAUGCUGCUGGUAGAGGUGCGGCGGAAGCAGCAGAUGGCUGUAGUCAGCAAGAUGCCCUUUGUGCCCACAAACUACUAUACCCUCAAGUGAAGCUGGCUCAGGGUGGGGCUGUCCCUUCCAGAAGUUUUGCCCCUACAAGGGGUUAGUCAAGAAGCUGAGGCAGAACUCACUGGGGGUGGGCAGUUAAGGUGGAGGCUGAUUCUAAUUGUCUGGCUGAGGGGCCACACCACCUAUUCCCCCCACCUAACUCAUGCCACUCCAGCUUCCUUCAGGACCCUGCUUCUGAGUGACGGACCAGCUCACACAAUGUCUUGUUUCAGUCCAUGAUCCCACUGACCUACUCUUGCCUGCUGGAGGGUAAUGAGAAGCUUUGGUUCUGCCAUCUCUCCCACUCUGCCAGGUGCUGGCUGUGGAGCAAAGGCUCACCUUUGUGGGGAGGAUAAAACCUGCCCAACCUACCUCACCAUGGUUUUUCACAUUGCAAACGGUAAUAACAUGGGCAGUGUGGACUUAGGCUACCCCCUCCAGUUUGCUUUCCGUAAAUGCAAAUUGUCCCUACUGCAAGUCAGGAAUGAUUGCCGACUCACAGUAGGGCUGCUAUGCCUGUGUGUAAACUUGGGGAUGGCUGAGGGAACACAGACUCACUCUUCCGCAUUCCCAAGUUGGUCUAGUGUGCUGCCCAGUAGCAAACCAUGGCAGGCUCACCACCUAUUCUGAGCUCCAGGGCUGUUGUAGGGCAGGGUGGGCUUCCUCCCAGACUUGCCUUACCCUGGGCUGAUCUUUGCCCCUGGUAUGCAUUAAUGGACUCCACUGAAUCCUGAAAAAAAAUUAAACUUCCUUCUUACUUGCCA